GUCUUUUUGAUUAUAAUUUAAAGUCUAACCUGCCCACUGAUAAUUUAAAUGGCUGCAGUAUUUUGACUGUACAAAGGUAGCAUAAUCAAUAGUUUCUUAAUUAGAAGCUUGUAUGAAUGGUUGAAUAAAAAAAUAACUGUCUCAAAUUUAGUUUAUAAAAUUUUAUUUUUAAGUUAAAAAGCUUAAAUUUUAUUAAAAGACGAGAAGACCCUAUAGAGUUUAAUAUUUAAUUUAGUUAAAAAUUUUUAGUAUUUAAUAUUUUUAAUUGAUUAAAAUAUUUGAUUGGGGUGAUUAAAAAAUUUAAUUAACUUUUUUUAAAAAAUUACAUUUAUAUAUGAAUUUUUGAUCCAUAAUUUAUGAUUAAAAGAAUAAAUUACCUUAGGGAUAACAGCGUAAUUUUUUCUUAAAGUUCUUAUUGAAGAAAAAGAUUGCGACCUCGAUGUUGGAUUAAAGGAAAUUUAUGGUGUAGAAGCUAUAAUAUUAAGUCUGUUCGACUUUUAAAACUUUACA
RNAcentral lists this ribosomal RNA (510 nucleotides) under Stenotarsus blatchleyi. RNAcentral describes it as "partial 16S ribosomal RNA". The stretch from base 384 to 510 matches the Rfam family "Bacterial large subunit ribosomal RNA", at positions 2473 to 2600 of the family's 2925-position model. The record is from RNAcentral. Lineage: Eukaryota; Metazoa; Arthropoda; Insecta; Coleoptera; Endomychidae.